Daphnia carinata is the source of this 263-nucleotide long non-coding RNA. RefSeq lists it as uncharacterized. NCBI's taxonomy places the organism in Eukaryota, Metazoa, Arthropoda, Branchiopoda, Diplostraca, Daphniidae. The record is from RefSeq and is a predicted model, not a curated record. The transcript is spliced from 3 exons.
AAUUUUGCACUCGUAUGCAAAACGGCAACCGACGGACGAACGGAGAAUCGAAUUCCGUUGGAUGGCACCACCCGAAGACAUGGGCUGCGUUCAUUUCGCAGGAACGUUUACAAGACAAGAAACCCUUGUAUUGAAGGUCCAGCGGAUUUAUCACCUAUGUCCAGCAACUGACGAACUUGAAGCCGAGAGCGUGACGUUAUCAGGCGUCAACCAGAAGGGAGGCGUUAUUUUCCGAGACGAUUUCGAAACCGGACCCAUUUCUC